This is a non-coding RNA of Triticum urartu, 264 nucleotides long. The record is from RefSeq and is a predicted model, not a curated record. Lineage: Eukaryota; Viridiplantae; Streptophyta; Magnoliopsida; Poales; Poaceae.
AUGGAAGAGUCGCUAUUGAUUUUUUUAGAACUACAUGAACAUUGUUUACAUGGAUGAUUUUAUUUUGGCAUCUUCUAUCGUUGUGCAGCAUUCAUGGUCUUAUACGUGGCGAGAAUAUGGAGCUUGGGCGUGAUUCAGAUACAGGUGGCUAGGUCAAAUAUGUUGUAGAGCUUGCUAGGGCGUUAGGUGAAACACCUGGAGUAUAUAGAGUGGAUCUGCUGACAAGGCAGAUUUCUGCACCUGAUGUUGAUUGGAGUUAUGGGG